CAGGCAGGAGCAAGUGCUACUAAUCAAAAUGUGCUACUAAUUAAAAUGAUAAAACUAGUCGUACAUAGCUUUUUCCAACGGAAAGUGCAAAUUAAACUGUGACGAUUGAGACACUGCACCUUUAGGAGCAAGUUGUUCAGAAAGUGGGUCCCAGAUUCCCUCCAGUGGAGUCUCCUGGAGAGCUUAUUGUACGGGCAGAUUCUGGAGCCCUGCCCCAGACUCUGAGAAACAGUCCGUGACUGUGGUACCCUGGAAUCCGCAUUCUAAACAAAUUCCAUAGUCUUUCCCUCCACAGACUGAUUUUGAAAAGCACUGCACCAAUUAGCCCUGAGUUUAAAAUUUAUAAACAUAAAAACUGUAAAAAACAAUGCAUGGCCUAACCUCUGACUUACUAGCCAUGAAAAAAAAAGUUUAUUCUAGAUUAUUGUUUGGAUGUCUUUAUGUCAUUCAUUUUUUCAUUUACAAGACAAAUAAGACAUGCCCCUGCACUAGGGGAAUUCACAGGAGAAAGAGUAGGAUUUUGACUUCAUAGGAGGAACAGGUCCACUCCAAGAGGAGAGAAAACUAAUCCUGGUUGCUUUUUUGGUCAGAGAAAGCCUUGUAGGGCGGUGGCCUUAAGGCUGUGUGGAAUUCACCUGGGGCAAAAGAGAGGCAGGGAUUUGAGGAAGAGUGGGCGCUGAGCUGUGGCUCUGAGUGAUGGGAGUGGGCGCUGCGCUGCGACGCUGAGUGAUGGGAGUGGACGCUGAGCUGCGGCACUGAGUGACGGGAGUGGACGCUGCACUGCGGUGCUGAGUGACAGGAGUGGACGCUGAGCUGCGGCACUGAGUGACGGGAGUGGACGCUGAGUGACGGGAGUGGACGCUGAGCUGCGGCGCUGAGUGACGGGAGUGGACGCUUGGACGCUGAGUGACGGGAGUGGACGCUGCGCUGCGGCACUGAGUGACAGGAGUGGACACUGAGUGACGGGAGUGGACGCUGCGCUGUAGCGCUGAGUGAUGGGAGUGGACGCUGCGCUGCGGCACUGAGUGACGGGAGUGGACGCUGAGUGACGGGAGUGGACGCUGCGCUUGGACGCUGAGUGACGGGAGUGGACGCUGCGCUGCGGCGCUGAGUGACGGGAGUGGGUGUAGGGGUUCAGUGAAUGGCAGAUUGCCAUUGUUACUGACGUGUGCAGGAGCAUGUAGAGGGGCCAGUAGAAUGUGGAAGCUAGAGGAGAAGUAGAGCCUAGACUUGGGAGCACCUUGUAAGCUGUACUAGGACUCUGGGACUGUCUGUGUAGACCAGGAAACAAACGACAGGAAGGGAAUGCAUGAGUGUGCACUGCCUUUGAGCCCGCAGAGCCAGCCAGCGUGGGCCUCCUAAGGAGGGGAGUGCCCUCUAGGGGCUUAGAUGAUUUUUCUGAGUGCUGUUCGUCUUUGUACUCCGCCACCCACAUGCCCACUAAGCUGAAUCCAUUACCUACUGGAGAGAGAAAAAAAGACAGCUUCACCAACCCACCUGGCUGCAGCUGUGAUUACAGUAUGCAGACAUUUAUUGGUUUGGUACCUUGACUGAUGAUUAUCUUAAUACUGAGGAUAACAUUAAAGGCUUGAUUUUUCAGGCAAAUGGCAAAUGCAAGUUGCUUCUUGUUGGAGGUUGAAAAGCCCUUAGCCCAUGAUUCUGUUUAUGUGAACUGACCAAAAUAGGUAGGUCCAUAGAGAAAGAAUAGAGAUUCGUGGUUGCCAGGGGCUGGGAGAGGAUAAAUGGGAAGUACAGGGUUUCUUUAUGAGAUGAUGAAAAUGUUCUAAAAUUAGGUAGCAGUGAUGGUAGCACAACCCUGUGAAUAUAAAGACCAUUGAAUUGUAUACUUUAAAAGGGUGAAUUUUACAGUAUGUGAAUCGUAUCUCAGUAAAAUUGUUAUUUUAUUUGUUUUCUUUAAAAACCCUUAGCACUUCUGCUUCAGAUAUCCUAAGAGAAGUAUGGUAUUUGGGGUUUCAGAGAGGAGCUAUUAUCUGAGGUUGGCCUGGAAGGGCAGAUGGUAUCUAGACAGACAGCUGGAGAUGAGGGCUAGAUAAGGAAUGUUCAGGAGAGAGUAGGGUGAGCAGUGGAAAGACAGCAAAGGGAGGGCUUGUUUGGAGAAUAGAAGGUGACUAGCAUCAGGAGUAUGAAGAGAAAUACUGCGAGAUUGAAUUCGAAUAAAGAUCUGUGGACUUGAGAGUGUUGAAUGCUAGGCUGAGAAGUUGAUCAGUUAAAUGAAGAGUAACUGAAGGUUUUUGACUACAGAAGUACAAGAACUGAGCCAUAGGAUGGGCGUGGCAUGAACUGGGAGAAGGGGAGACUUUGGUGAGAGGAGACCAGGUCGGAACCUAGAAGUUGGAGGAGGGAAGGUUUUAGAAGUGAGGGGUAAGUGUGGACAUCGAUUUACUCAUAAGUUAGUCUGUUUCCUUAGCUACCAAUCCACAUGUUUUCUCCAUUCCAUUGCUUGCUGUUUAUCCAGGCAUUGGGGUAAAGGGUAAGAGGGAGAUUGGGAGGAGGGACCAAAAAAAUAAUAAGAAUGAAGAGAAAAGGUGAUGAGGGCAAGAUUCUGUCUGAGUGCUUCAGUUGUUCUGUAAUUCAGUGACUCACUACAAGAAGACUCUAGGGGAGUGCCCUCUAGGCUCUUCUAGUGGAAAACACAGGAUAGGAAACCUUGUUUGAUUUUAUUAUGUAUAGACAUAAUAAAUUUCCUUGGCAAAUAAGGGUCCUGAUGAGGCCCCCGUUUGUUACCUGAGAGUGUGUGUAGACUAUCUGUCGAAAAAUAACUCACAUGAGUUGUAUUAUGUUGAACUCUGUGAAAUUGCUAUUUGACUAUUUUUGAUCUACAAAGAAAGCAGUUUCGUGAAGUCUCAACCUAAUAGAUACUUGCUCGAUAGAUAUCUGAUGACAGCCCAGAUUUUAACCUUUUCUGAUUCCUUCAUAAGUUCCUUCUUUA
This is a long non-coding RNA of Orcinus orca (killer whale), 2950 nucleotides long. RefSeq lists it as uncharacterized. Lineage: Eukaryota; Metazoa; Chordata; Mammalia; Artiodactyla; Delphinidae. The record is from RefSeq and is a predicted model, not a curated record. The transcript is spliced from 3 exons.